UUCCCUUCGGGGACAUUGGUGACAGGUGGUGCAUGGUUGUCGUCAGCUCGUGUCGUGAGAUGUUGGGUUAAGUCCCGCAACGAGCGCAACCCUUGUCUUUAGUUGCCAUCAUUAAGUUGGGCACUCUAGAGAGACUGCCAGGGAUAACCUGGAGGAAGGUGGGGAUGACGUCAAAUCAUCAUGCCCCUUAUGCUUAGGGCUACACACGUGCUACAAUGGGUAGUACAGAGGGUUGCCAAGCCGUAAGGUGGAGCUAAUCCCUUAAAGCUACUCUCAGUUCGGAUUGUAGGCUGAAACUCGCCUACAUGAAGCUGGAGUUACUAGUAAUCGCAGAUCAGAAUGCUGCGGUGAAUGCGUUCCCGGGUCUUGUACACACCGCCCGUCACACCACGGGAGUUGGAGACGCCCGAAGCCGAUUAUCUAACCUUUUGGAAGAAGUCGUCGAAGGUGGAAUCAAUAACUGGGGUGAAGUCGUAACAAGGUAGCCGUAUCGGAAGGUGCGGCUGGAUCACCUCCUUUCUAAGGA
RNAcentral lists this ribosomal RNA (526 nucleotides) under Clostridioides difficile. RNAcentral's name for it is "bacterial SSU rRNA". It matches the Rfam family "Bacterial small subunit ribosomal RNA", at positions 1014 to 1533 of the family's 1533-position model. Lineage: Bacteria; Bacillati; Bacillota; Clostridia; Peptostreptococcales; Peptostreptococcaceae. The record is from RNAcentral.